Molecule: transfer RNA, 68 nt
Filed under: Platycorynus sp. N26
Lineage: Eukaryota; Metazoa; Arthropoda; Insecta; Coleoptera; Chrysomelidae
Description: tRNA-Ser
Rfam family: tRNA
About the family: Transfer RNA (tRNA) molecules are approximately 80 nucleotides in length. Their secondary structure includes four short double-helical elements and three loops (D, anti-codon, and T loops).
Source: RNAcentral
AAUUAAUGAACUUGCUAAAGUGUAUACUUUGAAAGUAUAAUAAAGAGGUUGUAUUCCUCUAUUAAUUA